GAUGAAGAACGCAGCGAAAUGCGAUAAGUAGUGUGAAUUGCAGAAUUCAGUGAAUCAUCGAAUCUUUUAACGCACAUUGCGCCCCUUGGUAUUCCAUGGGGCAUGCCUGUUCGAGCGUCAUUUGUACCUUCAAGCUUUGCUUGGUGUUGGGUGUUUGUCCUGAGGGACUCGCCUUAAAGUAAUUGGCAGCCAGUGUUUGGUUUUGAAGCGCAGCACAAGUCGCGAUUCAAAGCUAUACGCCCGCUUCCACAAGCCUUUUUCACUUUUGACCUCGGAUCAGGUAGGGAUACCCGCUGAACUUAAGCAUAUCAAUAAGCGGAGGA
Molecule: unclassified non-coding RNA, 323 nt
Filed under: soil metagenome
Description: partial contains 5.8S ribosomal RNA, internal transcribed spacer 2, and large subunit ribosomal RNA
Rfam family: 5.8S ribosomal RNA (bases 1-120)
Source: RNAcentral